ACGGGUGCGUAACGCGUAUGCAACCUACCUUUAACAGGGGAUAACACUGAGAAAUUGGUACUAAUACCCCAUAAUAUCAUAGAAGGCAUCUUUUAUGGUUGAAAAUUCCGAUGGUUAGAGAUGGGCAUGCGUUGUAUUAGCUAGUUGGUGGGGUAACGGCCCACCAAGGCGAUGAUCAGUAGCCGGUCUGAGAGGAUGAACGGCCACAUUGGGACUGAGACACGGCCCAG
This 230-nucleotide ribosomal RNA is filed under the name uncultured bacterium. Its description in RNAcentral is "partial 16S ribosomal RNA". It matches the Rfam family "Bacterial small subunit ribosomal RNA", at positions 102 to 334 of the family's 1533-position model. The record is from RNAcentral.